RNAcentral lists this ribosomal RNA (434 nucleotides) under uncultured archaeon. RNAcentral describes it as "bacterial SSU rRNA". It matches the Rfam family "Archaeal small subunit ribosomal RNA", at positions 19 to 458 of the family's 1478-position model. The record is from RNAcentral.
GGACCUGACUGCUAUCGGAUUCCUCCAAAGCCAUGCGAGUCAUUGUAGCAAUACAAGGCAUACGGCUCAGUAACGCGUAGUCAACCUAACCUAUGGACUCGAAUAACCUCGGGAAACUGAGAAUAAUGCCCGAUAGAACAUUAUACCUGGAAUGGUUUAUGUUCCAAAUGAUUUAUCGCCGUAGGAUGGGACUGCGGCCUAUCAGUUUGUUGGUGAGGUAAUGGCCCACCAAGACUAUUACAGGUACGGGCUCUGAGAGGAGUAGCCCGGAGAUGGGUACUGAGACACGGACCCAGGCCCUAUGGGGCGCAGCAGGCGAGAAAACUUUGCAAUGUGCGAAAGCACGACAAGGUUAAUCCGAGUGGUUUCUGCUAAAGAAACCUUUUGUCAGUCCUAGAAACACUGAUGAAUAAGGGGUGGGCAAGUUCUGGUGU